This 1949-nucleotide unclassified non-coding RNA is filed under the name Hevea brasiliensis (rubber tree). Lineage: Eukaryota; Viridiplantae; Streptophyta; Magnoliopsida; Malpighiales; Euphorbiaceae. The record is from RNAcentral.
AAAAAAAAACAAAAAAAAUGUCAAAAUCCUCUUCAGUAGAUCAAAAUCUACUCGGUGACCGAAAUGACCUUCGGUCACCGCUUAUUCCGUCGAUUGGUGUCGACGGAUAUUUAAAACAAAAAAAAGUAACAAUGGAUCAAAUGUUGGAAAAAUACUGCGGCGAUUUUGGUUGGUGGCAAUUUAGUCAUUUUGUAUUAACGAGCUUUGCGUGGGCUCUAGAAGGAAUACACACUAUGGUUAUGAUUUUCGCCGAUCGUGAACCGGCUUGGCGGUGUUUGCCGAACCGGUUGUGCGAUUCAACCGCGAAAAGUGUGUGCGGGCUUGAACCGGGUUCAUGGGAAUGGACCGGUGGAGCUGCAAGUUCUACGGUAUCAGAGUUCGGUUUAAUUUGUGGACAGAAAUAUAAAGUUGGACUUGUCCAAUCCUUAUUUUUCGCUGCCUGCAUGAUUGGUGCUGGAGUAUUUGGACAUUUAUCAGAUUCCAAAUUGGGAAGAAAAGGCUCUUUAACUAUAGUUUGCAUUAUGAAUGCAAUCUUUGGUUGUUUAACUGCAAGUUCUACGGUAUCAGAGUUCGGUUUAAUUUGUGGACAGAAAUAUAAAGUUGGACUUGUCCAAUCCUUAUUUUUCGCUGCCUGCAUGAUUGGUGCUGGAGUAUUUGGACAUUUAUCAGAUUCCAAAUUGGGAAGAAAAGGCUCUUUAACUAUAGUUUGCAUUAUGAAUGCAAUCUUUGGUUGUUUAACUGCAACUUCUUGGGAUUAUUGGACUUAUACCUUAUUCCGUUUUCUCUCCGGUUUCAGCACCGGCGGGACUGGCCUUUGCGCGUUCGUUCUUGCUACUGAACCCGUUGGCCAGUCCUGGCGUGGUGUAGCUGGAAUGUCCACUUUUUAUUUCUUCUCUAUUGGAAUUGCCGCCUUAUCCGCCAUUGCAUAUUUCUUCCAAACGUGGCGAUCACUCUACAUAGCUUCGUCAAUUCCAUCAGUUAUAUUUGUCAUCUUACUACUCCCUUUCAUUCACGAGUCACCUCGUUGGUGUCUCGUGAGGGGGAAAAUUGACGAAGCUAUGAAGAUCAUGAACAGAAUUGCCAAAUCUAACGGUAAACAUCUCCCUGAUGACGUUGUUCUUGCUCUAGAUAGUGAAGUGAAUGAUGAUGUUCCUGAUUCUCAAUCCGUAUCAAAAGAAGCCCUAAACGGAUCCUUAUUAGAUGUACUCAGGCUUCCUUUGACACGAUUUCGGUUAUUCUUAGCUGUGCUGAUUAACUUCCUUUGCUCGGUUGUUUACUACGGGUUGAGCCUGAAUGCUGUUAACCUCGGGACCAACCUCUACCUCAACGUGGCUCUUAACGCGGUCGCUGAAAUGCCUGCCUAUUUUUUAACAGCAUUAGUGUUGGACAAGCUUGGUAGAAAGCCAUUAGCGAUAGGAACAAUGUGGUUCAGCGGUAUAUUCUGUUUAGCUGGAAGUUUGGCAAAGGGUGAUGAUGGAACGUGGAAGUUGGUUCGGAUGGUGUGUGGCGUGCUAGGUAUAUUUGGCAUGGCUGGGACUUACAAUCUACUAUUCGUGUAUUCGAUGGAGUUGUUUCCCACCGUGGUAAGAAAUGCUGCGUUGGGAUGUGCAACGCAGGCGUCACAAAUGGGGGCCAUUCUGGCCCCCUUUGUAGUUGUUUUAGGGGGUGGAAUACCAUUUGCUGUGUUUGCAUUUUGUGGAAUUGCAGGAGGCUUAUUGGUAAUUUACUUGCCAGAGACUUUAAACAGGCCAUUAUAUGAUACAAUGGCUGGAAUGGAAGAAGCUGAAGCAAAGAAACCAAGCAUUUUAUCUUAAUUUGCUAGUUUUUUGAGAACUUUUUUUGUAUUGUAUUUUUAGUUGUUGAAUGUAAUUUUGGAUUGGCUUGUAGUGCUAAGAGUUGAUCUUAUAUUAGGUUGUCAUAAGGCAUAUGCCUAGUUAUAACAAGGUAAG